AAAUAUAUAUAUGACGAAGGAGAAAUCUCCGUGGUGUUUUGAAAAAGUGUGACGUCAUCAUUGCUGACGUCACAGUUGUUGUUCUCACGAUGGUCACCCAUUUUGGGACUUAGAAAAACUCCACGAGCACUGUAUACUUAGUUUAUUCAACUCCCAGAGAGGUCCGUACUGUACGGCGAUCGGAGUGCAACUGCCUUGAUUGCCUACAGUGCGGGCGUAAUUAUAGGACUCGGCGCACGGGCACGUGCUUACAAGUUUUAGGUUAAGUAUUGAAAUUACAAUGAUAACGUUAAUUUUACAUCGUGUUAAACUUAAAAUAAUCAACUGAUGAUUAAUAAACUGAUUUUUAGGACAAUCAAGUGAAUUAACCAAACUUAUUCUACUUUCUCUGAUUAGUUGAUGUGGUUGCGCCGACACGGCCAUACUGACAGGCGGUGCGCGCUCUGCACCAGCCUCGUUGAUUUUUUUGUUGAUUCUCGUAGGUUCUCGGUGAUUCUCGUAGGUUCUCGGUGCUUCUUGUAGGUUCUCGGUGAUUCUCGUAGGUUCUCGGUGAUUCUCGUUGGUUUUGUUAUGUUGUGAUGUGAUUACCUGUAGGCAAAGAAAGUGUUUUCUCUGAGAAGGAUUUCUGUUCAUUAUAAAUUAGUUGUUAUUCUCGGAGGGUCUCGUAGAGUUCUCGGAGGGUCUCGUAGAGUUCUCGGAGGGUCUCGUAGAUUUCUCGGAGGGUCUCGUAGAUUUCUCGGAGGGUCUCGUAGAUUUCUCGGAGGGUCUCGUAGAGUUCUCGGAGUUUAAUUUAGAAUUUUUGAAAUUUGAAAAGAGUAAUUAACCAUGCAAUACUUAUCUGUUUAUUCUGGUGGCUUGUUUUCACUCUCCAGGUCGUGGUUUUGAUGUACUUGCGGCUGUUGAUUCGUUCCAGUUGAUCAGGUGGAAGAGCUGAUGAUGAAGCGGCUGGGGUAAGGGCUUCUUGCUAUCCCACUUCUGAUGACGAAGGAGAAAUCUACGUGGUGUUUUGAAAAAGUGUGACGUCAUCAUUGCUGACGUCACAGUUGUUGUUCUCACGAUGGUCACCCAUUUUGGGGCUUAGAAAAACU
Molecule: long non-coding RNA, 1088 nt
Organism: Spodoptera frugiperda (fall armyworm)
Lineage: Eukaryota; Metazoa; Arthropoda; Insecta; Lepidoptera; Noctuidae
Exons: 2
Source: RefSeq, a predicted model, not a curated record